This 467-nucleotide ribosomal RNA is filed under the name uncultured bacterium. RNAcentral's name for it is "partial 16S ribosomal RNA". It matches the Rfam family "Bacterial small subunit ribosomal RNA", at positions 29 to 507 of the family's 1533-position model. The record is from RNAcentral.
ACGAACGCUGGCGGCGUGCUUAACACAUGCAAGUCGAACGGAAAGGCCCUGCUUUUGUGGGGUGCUCGAGUGGCGAACGGGUGAGUAACACGUGAGUAACCUGCCCUUGACUUUGGGAUAACUUCAGGAAACUGGGGCUAAUACCGGAUAGGAGCUCCUGCUGCAUGGUGGGGGUUGGAAAGUUUCGGCGGUUGGGGAUGGACUCGCGGCUUAUCAGCUUGUUGGUGGGGUAGUGGCUUACCAAGGCUUUGACGGGUAGCCGGCCUGAGAGGGUGACCGGCAGCAGUGGGAAGAAGAGAGGGACGGGAGGACGACGGGGGCAAGCAGGGGGGAGUCGGGCUCAAUGGGCGGGAGUCGGAUGCCGCAUCGCCGCGUGAGGGAUGAGGGCCGACGGGUGGGAAAAAGCAUGCACCGGUGAACAAGCUGGAGUGACGGGAAUGAGUAAAGAAGCACCGCAUAACUACGAG